UGCCUGGCGGCCUUAGCGCGGUGGUCCCACCUGACCCCAUGCCGAACUCAGAAGUGAAACGCCGUAGCGCCGAUGGUAGUGUGGGGUCUCCCCAUGCGAGAGUAGGGAACUGCCAGACAU
This 120-nucleotide ribosomal RNA is filed under the name Escherichia coli E2265. The record is from RNAcentral. Lineage: Bacteria; Pseudomonadati; Pseudomonadota; Gammaproteobacteria; Enterobacterales; Enterobacteriaceae.